This is a non-coding RNA of Paramuricea clavata, 998 nucleotides long. The record is from the annotation of a GenBank genome assembly. NCBI's taxonomy places the organism in Eukaryota, Metazoa, Cnidaria, Anthozoa, Malacalcyonacea, Plexauridae.
UAUACACUAGAUAGCGCAUCUCGGAAUACAAAACUGAAGCCAAAAAUCUCAGCGGUAUCCCCCAUGAAAAUAGGCGGCGGCCAUAUUGGUCGUUCCCACUCAUCAAUGAAAUGCUAUAGAAAAUACUAUACUUUUCGAGGCUUUUUUUGCAUUUCUGGAUUAAAAAUACCUUUUUGAGGUACGUUCGCCUUGAAAUCGCAGCUUUUUUGGAAAAGGGUACAAGAAAAAAACAUUAAUUGGCGAUGUUGUUGUCUUUGAAUCGCAUUUUAAAGCUAAAAAUUUCGAAUUACGACAUUGGCUUUAUAUACUUGUUUUGAAUCUGUGAGUGAUUCUCUGGUGAAGUAUCGUCUAAUCAAUACAUUACUUAUGGUUUCUGGCACCACUUUAUGGAAAUGGAGUUGGUAAGUAACGUUUCAACUAUCGGCGUAGGCAGUUUAUACUGUAAAAAAACAGAGUCUACACUUUCAGUUUGGGCAGUUUUCACUGUAAAUCUUUAGUGAAAUGUUUGAGACAGUCUGAGUCUGCACUUUCAGCUUGGGUAGUUUUCACUAUAAAUUUUUAGUGAAACGUUUGAGACAGAGUUUGCACUUUCAGCUUGGGCAGUUAUCACUAUAAAUCUUUAGUAAAAUUAUGUUUGAGGCAGAGUCUGCACUUUCAGCUUGGGCAGUUUCAUAGUAAAUUUUAGUAAUAUUUAGCUUUCUCUGAUACAUUCUGUGUAAUCACUCACACUGGUGCUUACAGUAAAAGGUACAAGUUUAUUUAAUUUCUUUUUAAUUUUUUGUCCAGAUGAAUUCUCAGUGGUCUUUUUUCCAAGAUGGUAAAAUUUAACCUCACAGUAACUCUUGAUGAUGCUCUUGGUUAACUGAAAUAUAACAUAUUUUCACCAACUGGUGAGUUAAAAAUAUGGUGAUCUAGCUCAGUAAAAAGAUUGUGUAUGGACAAUGAAGCCAGAACAUAUGGACAAUGAACAAUGAAGCCAGAACAGAAGUGGUCAGAGC